Molecule: ribosomal RNA, 457 nt
Filed under: Enterobacter hormaechei
Lineage: Bacteria; Pseudomonadati; Pseudomonadota; Gammaproteobacteria; Enterobacterales; Enterobacteriaceae
Description: bacterial SSU rRNA
Rfam family: Bacterial small subunit ribosomal RNA
Source: RNAcentral
AUUGAACGCUGGCGGCAGGCCUAACACAUGCAAGUCGAACGGUAACAGGAAGCAGCUUGCUGCUUUGCUGACGAGUGGCGGACGGGUGAGUAAUGUCUGGGAAACUGCCUGAUGGAGGGGGAUAACUACUGGAAACGGUAGCUAAUACCGCAUAACGUCGCAAGACCAAAGAGGGGGACCUUCGGGCCUCUUGCCAUCGGAUGUGCCCAGAUGGGAUUAGCUAGUAGGUGGGGUAACGGCUCACCUAGGCGACGAUCCCUAGCUGGUCUGAGAGGAUGACCAGCCACACUGGAACUGAGACACGGUCCAGACUCCUACGGGAGGCAGCAGUGGGGAAUAUUGCACAAUGGGCGCAAGCCUGAUGCAGCCAUGCCGCGUGUAUGAAGAAGGCCUUCGGGUUGUAAAGUACUUUCAGCGGGGAGGAAGGGAGUAAAGUUAAUACCUUGCUCAUUGACUU